AAGACUAUUUAAUAGGCUGCUAACCUAAUAGUAAUGAUCACAUUUAGUCUUU
RNAcentral lists this transfer RNA (52 nucleotides) under Chiropterargas boueti. RNAcentral describes it as "Argas boueti tRNA-Ser". The record is from RNAcentral. Lineage: Eukaryota; Metazoa; Arthropoda; Arachnida; Ixodida; Argasidae.